RNAcentral lists this ribosomal RNA (636 nucleotides) under Gambierdiscus caribaeus. RNAcentral's name for it is "partial large subunit ribosomal RNA". It matches the Rfam family "Eukaryotic large subunit ribosomal RNA", at positions 43 to 651 of the family's 3401-position model. Lineage: Eukaryota; Dinophyceae; Gonyaulacales; Pyrocystaceae. The record is from RNAcentral.
UAAGUAGGCGGAGGAAAUGACACAAACAUGGAUUCACUGGGUAACUGCGAGUGACAUGUGAUUUGCUCACAGCUGAUAUUCUUUGCUGUAUGCUUUGACAUGAGGACUUUGAGUGUGGUGCCAAUGGUGGUGUAAGUGUGAGCCAUCUUGGAAAAGAGAAGAGUGUGCACUUACAAGGGUGAGAAGCCUGUGUGUGCUUACAGAAUCUCCACAUGUGGGUCUCACUUUGAGAAUCAUGCUCUUUGGAAGUGGAGUGUAAAGUGGGCGGUAGACUCUUCUCAAAGCUGAGUACAAAACUGGGACAGACAGGGAAGAAGUACCAUGAGGGAAGUGUGAAAAGGACUUUGGAAAGAGACUUAAAAGAGCCUGUACGUGCUGAAGGAUACGCAUACAGCAUGCUUGCAUGUGAGAUGAUUGCUGUGGGUGUGCGGCUGUCUUUGACUGGAUGACUGUGGACAUGUGCCAUGGACACUUGACCACCUAUUGUGUAUCCUCUUGUGUGUGCCAGCAUGUUGGAGACAGUCAGUGUUUGAGCGCAGUGGUUGCUGUGCAUCUCAAGAUACAUCAGAUGUGCACUCAAAGAUCUGAGCAUGUUGAAAAGCAGGUGCAGAAGGGCCCUCCUGUCUGUAUGACCCG